GGGUGGCUGGUGUAGUUGGUUAUCACGCCCGCUUAGCAUCGAAACAUGUCGGUUGUCUUGCGCUGCGGGAGGGGAGGAGUUCAAUUCUCCUGUUGUCCA
Molecule: non-coding RNA, 99 nt
Organism: Jaapia argillacea MUCL 33604
Lineage: Eukaryota; Fungi; Basidiomycota; Agaricomycetes; Jaapiales; Jaapiaceae
Source: the annotation of a GenBank genome assembly